Molecule: ribosomal RNA, 380 nt
Filed under: uncultured eukaryote
Lineage: Eukaryota
Description: partial 18S ribosomal RNA
Rfam family: Eukaryotic small subunit ribosomal RNA
Source: RNAcentral
CAAUAGCGUAUAUUAAAGUUGUUGCGGUUAAAAAGCUCGUAGUUGGAUUUCUGCUGAGAACGACCGGUCCGCCCUCUGGGUGUGUAUCUGGCUCUUUCUUGGCAUCUUCUUGGUGAACGUUGCUGCACUUGACUGUGUGGAGCGCUACCCAGGACUUUUACUUUGAGGAAAUUAGAGUGUUUCAAGCAGGCAUACGCCUUGAAUACAUUAGCAUGGAAUAAUAAGAUAGGACCUCGGUUCUAUUUUGUUGGUUUCUAGAGCUGAGGUAAUGAUUAAUAGGGAUAGUUGGGGGCAUUCGUAUUUAACUGUCAGAGGUGAAAUUCUUGGAUUUGUUAAAGACGGUCUACUGCGAAAGCAUUUGCCAAGGAUGUUUUCAUUGA